GGGAGAAUAUUGCACAAUGGGCGAAAGCCUGAUGCAGCGACGCCGCGUGAGGGAUGACGGCCUUCGGGUUGUACACCUCUUUCAGCAGGGACGAAGCGCAAGUGACGGUACCUGCAGAAGAAGCACCGGCUAACUACGUGCCAGCAGCCGCGGUAAUACGUAGGGUGCAAGCGUUGUCCGGAAUUACUGGGCGUAAAGAGUUCGUAGGCGGGUUGUCGCGUCGUUUGUGAAAACCAGCAGCUCAACUGCUGGCUUGCAGGCGAUACGGGCAGACUUGAGUACUGCAGGGGAGACUGGAAUUCCUGGUGUAGCGGUGAAAUGCGCAGAUAUCAGGAGGAACACCGGUGGCGAAGGCGGGUCUCUGGGCAGUAACUGACGCUGAGGAACGAAAGCGUGGGUAGCGAACAGG
RNAcentral lists this ribosomal RNA (409 nucleotides) under bacterium. Its description in RNAcentral is "partial 16S ribosomal RNA". It matches the Rfam family "Bacterial small subunit ribosomal RNA", at positions 355 to 776 of the family's 1533-position model. The record is from RNAcentral.